UUGAUUUCAUAUUUUAGGUUUUGCUUAUUGUUAUUAUUUAGAACAUUAUGAACGCUUUAGAUUUCUUUGUUUGGUUUUUAUUUUAAUUUACUUCAUCGCCAAGUAAUAGGUUGCACACAUGACGCGAGUUUUGGGGUAUAGGGUUUUCUUAUAAAUAGGCACCCUUGUUAGUUCUUUUGAUUUAUUGAAAAUUAAUAAAAAUUCUGCGUUUUUCUACUCUUUGAGUUGUGAAGCCUAAUUGGGUGCGAAGCCUAUCCUUCUUCGAAGGGUUAACUACCGUGGUGCGAAGUCACAUCUAUCUCAAUUCACCUCCAUCCAUCGCCAUCUCUAUUACCCGUCUUAUACCAUCCACCCUUCUCAUCUCCCAUAAUCAUCUGCGCUACAAAUCUGUCCCUUAUUGCAUUAAAUUCCCUCUCUUCAACAGAUUCGCAGAAUCUGGCCUUGCAGGAGGGAUGAAACUUCGAUGGAGCACUACCCCCAGGCCGUAGCUCGGAUCAACGUGAAAUUUGGGGGUUUUGAAGCCCAAGCCUGUCUGACUAACCCCAAGGAGACGAUUUUUGGGUCCGUGGGUCCCACACACGUGCGGCCGAUCACCAGCGCACGUGCGUCAGGUCCCACUCGUGGUCCGCACGUGACAGCUGUCUUCUGGUUCAGGGUUCCUUCUCCUUUACUCUCUCAUAUCUGUUUUUCAUAAACCUUAACCCUAAAUGGUCCUAAAUUCCCAAAUUCUAUCCCUAUUCUCACCCUAGGAUUCCCUGAAUUGAAAUUGGUAAAUCCCUUGGAUUAGGGGCUGAUUACUAUGCAUGUGUGGAUGAUUAUUUCUUAUCUUUGAGUAUCGUUUGGCUUAUAAUUUUUAUUGUUCCAGCCCUAGCCUGUGUAGGCCUGGACUUGCAUAGAUUCCCCUUAAUUGAAUGUUGGGACUUUCAUGUGGGAUAUGAAAUUUGUGUAAUUGUUUCUGAACUAACGUGAUCUUAAGCUUGAAUUCUUGCACAUCAUAUCUGAAUUUCAUGUCCUGCAUCAUCUACAUGCAAGAACACUUUCCUAUCUGAAGGACAUGUGCGAGAUGUGAGAUUUCUAUUAGCCCACCUGAACAAUGAAAUGGCUUGAUUAUAUAGGGAAAAGAUCCAAGAACUGUUUCCAACCAGAUAGAAGAUACGAUACACAUUUCAUGCAUUAGCACGUGUUCCUGUGUGUAGAUGAGCAGGGAGUCCACAUGCAUGAGCAAUUAGAAACCUCUUUGCAAUCAUUUGGUUUUGCCUAUGUUGGUACCAAGGAGAAUUUCACGUGUUGCACCAUUGGGCCCCCCACCAUGGUAUUAAAAAACAGUCAUGUAAUAGUAAUGGUGGGCACUGGUACGUGAUGUGGGCUGUAAUGGUCAUUCUGAAAAAAAAAAAAGGCCCUUGGAACUAGAUGGUUACCUCCUCAGUUGAGGUCAAGAACAAAGAAUUGUCUUUUUUUUUUCUAUAUCAUUGUUUGAUGAUUCAUUUUUCAUUUAUCUGAUUUCAUGGAUUGGGUCCCUACUCAUGGCUCAAUGGUAGACUCGUUGAGUUUCAACACUAAGGUCGUGGGUUAGAGUGCCCAUUGUGGUGUGCGUGGGUGUGUGUGUGUGU
Long non-coding RNA from Magnolia sinica, 1610 nucleotides. RefSeq lists it as uncharacterized. The transcript has 2 exons. Lineage: Eukaryota; Viridiplantae; Streptophyta; Magnoliopsida; Magnoliales; Magnoliaceae. The record is from RefSeq and is a predicted model, not a curated record.